RNAcentral lists this transfer RNA (71 nucleotides) under Marmota monax (woodchuck). RNAcentral describes it as "tRNA.Ala". It matches the Rfam family "tRNA". Rfam says of the family: Transfer RNA (tRNA) molecules are approximately 80 nucleotides in length. Their secondary structure includes four short double-helical elements and three loops (D, anti-codon, and T loops). Lineage: Eukaryota; Metazoa; Chordata; Mammalia; Rodentia; Sciuridae. The record is from RNAcentral.
GGGGAUGUGGCUCAAGUGGUAGAGCGCCCGUCUGGCAUGCGCGCCGCCUGGGUUCGAUCCUCAGCACCACA